CCUACCCUUGACAUGCCUGGAAUCCUGCAGAGAUGUGGGAGUGCUCGAAAGAGAACCAGGACACAGGUGCUGCAUGGCCGUCGUCAGCUCGUGUCGUGAGAUGUUGGGUUAAGUCCCGCAACGAGCGCAACCCUUGUCAUUAGUUGCUACGAAAGGGCACUCUAAUGAGACUGCCGGUGACAAACCGGAGGAAGGUGGGGAUGACGUCAGGUCCUCAUGGCCCUUAUGGGUAGGGCUACACACGUCAUACAAUGGCCGGUACAGAGGGCUGCCAACCCGCGAGGGGGAGCCAAUCCCAGAAAACCGGUCGUAGUCCGGAUCGCAGUCUGCAACUCGACUGCGUGAAGUCGGAAUCGCUAGUAAUCGCGGAUCAGCUUGCCGCGGUGAAUACGUUCCCGGGUCUUGUACACACCGCCCGUCACACCAUGGGAG
This 432-nucleotide ribosomal RNA is filed under the name uncultured bacterium. RNAcentral's name for it is "bacterial SSU rRNA". It matches the Rfam family "Bacterial small subunit ribosomal RNA", at positions 974 to 1410 of the family's 1533-position model. The record is from RNAcentral.